UACCUCUGAUUUGCGUAAGAGGUUGAAAAACUUGCAGAUUGUGUGUUGUCAUCAGCUUUGUCUCGUCUCCUAUGAGAUACGAGUUAAAUAACGGCACGAGAUUC
This 104-nucleotide small nucleolar RNA is filed under the name Hordeum vulgare. Its description in RNAcentral is "Small nucleolar RNA snoR97". It matches the Rfam family "Small nucleolar RNA snoR97". The record is from RNAcentral. Lineage: Eukaryota; Viridiplantae; Streptophyta; Magnoliopsida; Poales; Poaceae.